Long non-coding RNA from Ictalurus punctatus (channel catfish), 455 nucleotides. The record is from Ensembl. NCBI's taxonomy places the organism in Eukaryota, Metazoa, Chordata, Actinopteri, Siluriformes, Ictaluridae.
ACUAUCAGGGGAAUUACACAGUUUUCCGAGACGUGAACGCAGAUCGCCCUGCCGUCAGCUCCUGUAGAUGUCUAGUGUCCUGUGUCUUGUAGACACAGCAGGGAAGAGUCACUCUCGUUCAGAGCUUGGAUGUUUGAGCAGCUCAAACGUUUUUCAGCCAUCUGUAAUUGGCAGCUGGGAAGACUUGAAGCGGAAGGUUGGUUGCAUUCCAAGUUGCACAGGAGGGAGAUUUGAGAAGGCAAUCGAUAGGAAGCGAAUUGUGGUGCGGUGAAGUGAACGAUUUUAAUCUGGGACUAAGUAUCCUACAGUGGAUUAAUCCCUGGCGCUUACAUCCAGCAUUCUUCAUGAAAUAUGGAUAAGCCAGACACCAGGAGAAGAUUAUGAAAGAAAUAAAAGCCAUUUUCACCCCUAUACCUGUUCCAAAAGAAUGGGAAUGAAGAGGUGGGAAAAUAACG